RNAcentral lists this ribosomal RNA (994 nucleotides) under uncultured anaerobic bacterium. Its description in RNAcentral is "partial 16S ribosomal RNA". The record is from RNAcentral.
UCGUGGGUUGCUCGGCAGGNAUUAAUGAAAUAUUGUCUCACUCUUCAGAUUCGUCAGCACUUUUUCAGUAAAUAACUUACUGAUUUUACCCAAUAUUACAGAUAUAACAACAACUGCGUUUGUCGGUUUCAACUACCUCAAGAUUACCGAAAAAGUCCAUCAAUUCACUCUUCACUACACGGAUGAAAUUAAAAUAAUCUCCGCCUUCAGCAAACUCAGCAAUACUUGUUCCCAAUGACCUUACUCCAUUGUAAUCAUGCAAGAUUACCAGGUGCUUGCCAACUCGCNUUCAUUUCAGAAUAGAGGAUCAACCGCUGGCCUGCGGUCAUUCCAUGAGCAACAAACGCCGCCAUAACCACAUCGAAACAAUUCUCAGGAAAGGGCAGCCCACCUGCUGUGGUUGCCUGGUUAAGGCGAAUACUCGCAUUUUCUCUCCGGUUUUUCGCUACUCGUAACAUCCCAAUGGAAUGAUCGACCGCAUAGGUUUCCAAGCCCAUUUCAGAAAAAACGGAUGCCAGAGCACCCGUUCCACAACCGACAUCUAAUAUGGAAGAGAAAUGAGAAAGAUUGCAAUGGUUCGUUAGCUUAAAAAUCCUGGCGUAGUUCUGACGUUGACGGUCAUAAAAGCGAUUGUAGUACGGCGAGAUCGUGUCAAACAGUUUUCUGGAUUUUUUUUCGGUCAUUUCUCCCCUAAGGUAGAUUUCAUUUUAACUGUGUUAUGGGAAGGGAACCUUCCAUCGUACUGUUUUCAAAUAAUUGCUUUACUGCGUUGCGUUCAAGUGACUUUCUUAAAACCAAGUGUUUCACCAAUAAUAUCUGGGCUUCGCUACUUGAAAAUCCAACCUCUUCCAUGGCAACAUCCAACCAGGAUUGGUAAGAGCGCACGCAUAGGAAAACCGGUCUGCCGGCCAACUCUGGAAUCGCGGCGGGCAGUGCCUUCAGUAGGUCCGCGGAGCUCAUUUCCGAGCUACUGAUGACUGAACCCAGAUUCCCU